Molecule: long non-coding RNA, 1655 nt
Organism: Takifugu rubripes (torafugu)
Lineage: Eukaryota; Metazoa; Chordata; Actinopteri; Tetraodontiformes; Tetraodontidae
Source: Ensembl
UGAAAAUUCUUCAAAGAACUUUUCUUUUUGACAAAUCUGGGAGCGUUUAAGCGGCGCCGCGGCUUCACCAGCCGUGGAAGGUUGAUCCACCCCGGCGUCCUUGCAUAACGUCUGCUGUGCGAUGACGGCGCCGUGUCACGGUGGCGGCCGCUUGAUUGACAGUCACUCAGGGGCGCGCCAUUUAGCCGCCGCGGCCGUCCUCGCGUGUCACUGCCCUGAUGAAAAGGUCGCCCUCGUCGCGCUAAUGAGUCAUCUGCUUUCGUGACUGGAGGACGGGGAAGAGGACCGGGUCUGAGGUGGAGUCCGAGAGGUCGGCGCCAUCAGAGCAGGCCCGGGUUGACCUUUAGCCCUUCACGUUCCCGCGUCCGACGCGUCAGCUUAUUGAUUUUUCCAACUGAUGAAAGCAGCUUUUUAGGAAAGACUGUCCUGAUUCUCAUAUCACUCCUCCAGCAGGUGGCGCUGCUCGCAUCAUUUGUGCUAACAAAUAUUUUAAAAGUUAACACAAGUUAGAAGCUUAUGGCUAAUGGUCCCUGGAUUUUACUUACAUACAGGCUUUUGACACUUUUGAAAGUAUUUUUUUAUGAUAAAAACUAAGAAAUUAACAAUUUUGGCAAUAAAACUUUUUUUUUUCUGUUUUACAGAUGUUUGACAUCUUUAAAUCAGAAAAAUCUUCUGCACAAAGUUCCCUACAGCAGGUUGAGAGCAGCUAACGGCUCAGUGGUGCGAAACAACGAGACCUUCAGCCAAAACUCCAGGAACCAGGAGACGUUCGUCCCUCUUCCUGUUUCUGCAUGGAGACACUUUCCCACUCCGGGUUUGGGUUUGUGGUCCUUCUUCCUGCACCACCUUUUCUGGACGAGCUGGACUCCUGGCGAGAAGAGAGCGGAACAUUUGUUGUGCAUUAGCGUCCUGACAGGAAGCUGCGGGCUGAAGGAGAGACGGCACCUGGGCGGCGGCCUGACGAUUGAAGGGCUACGCUAGGUGGACUGAAGCGUCCCACCUCCCUCCGCCGACCGCACGGCCCGGCUCAGAUGCCGCUUAUUGGAUCCAGGCUGAGUGGAUUUGGGGGAGGAGGCCCGGCUCCCCCGCCCACAAACCACAACAGAAGGCAUGAAAACAAACUCCUCAGAAUAGCCGCGCUCGCCGUCGCUUGGCUGCCGGUUCAAAGAUUUGUGGGCAGAUGUUUGAUCUCCGUUCAAUAAUCAGUUUCUCUCUUUUUUUUUUUCUUUCCACAUCAGGGCGACUUUGGCGCUCUGGUGUCUCCAAACGGCAGCGAGCAGCAACUGCCUGAAGUUCUGCAGCCCCGCCUCCCGUGGUCACCGUCCCACCCCGACGCCGCUGCACGCCACUGGCCGCCCUCGCGUUGACCCGGGCCAGAGAUGGGUCUGUUUCACGUUUUCCCUCCAUGUGUUUGUUCCCCUUUAACAACAACCGGCGCUAAAACGCCUCCUCGGCUUUAGGAACUCCGCUGGUGAUCCCGUAAACGCCGCUCAGGUCCAUCGAAAAGAAAGAAAGAAAAAAAAAACCUCGGGUCAAACUCUUGAAACCGCUGUAGCAUCUGGAAGUCUCCCAACUCCUGGAGGUGAUGGGUUAGCUUCUGCUAAGUCCAAAGACAGAAGCUAAGCUAGCAAGAAGCUAAAUAAACAAGCGUGUCC